UACGGAGGAUGCGAGCGUUAUCCGGAUUUAUUGGGUUUAAAGGGUGCGUAGGCGGGUUAUCAAGUCAGCGGUAAAAUCGUGGAGCUCAACUCCAUCCAGCCGUUGAAACUGAUGAUCUUGAGUGGGCGAGAAGUAUGCGGAAUGCGUGGUGUAGCGGUGAAAUGCGUAGAUAUCACGCAGAACUCCGAUUGCGAAGGCAGCAUACCGGCGCCCGACUGACGCUGAAGCACGAAAGCGUGGGUAUCGAACAGG
Molecule: ribosomal RNA, 252 nt
Filed under: uncultured bacterium
Lineage: Bacteria
Description: partial 16S ribosomal RNA
Rfam family: Bacterial small subunit ribosomal RNA
Source: RNAcentral